GUGGGAGGGGGCUUGCCCCCGAUGGCGGUGAAUCAGCCGACUCAUCUGUAGCUGGCAUACCGCAAUCGGGGGCAAGCCCCCUCCCAC
This 87-nucleotide unclassified non-coding RNA is filed under the name Pseudomonas orientalis. Lineage: Bacteria; Pseudomonadati; Pseudomonadota; Gammaproteobacteria; Pseudomonadales; Pseudomonadaceae. The record is from RNAcentral.